GAUAAACGCUGGCGGCGUGCAUAACACAUGCAAGUCGAACGAUGAAACUUAACUGAUUUCUUCGGAAUGAUUUUAAGUGGAUUAGUGGCGGACGGGUGAGUAACGCGUGAGUAACCUGCCUUGCACAAGGGGAUAGCCGUUGGAAACGACGAAUAAUACCCUAUGAUAUAAACUCUUCGCAUGAAGAGCUUAUCAAAGAUUUAUCGGUGUAAGAUGGACUCGCGUCUGAUUAGCUAGUUGGUGGGGUAACAGCCUACCAAGGCAACGAUCAGUAGCCGGCUUGAGAGAGUGUACGGCCACAUUGGGACUGAGACACGGCCCAGACUCCUACGGGAGGCAGCAGUGGGGAAUUUUGCACAAUGGGGGCAACCCUGAUGCAGCGACGCCGCGUGAUUUAGAAGGCCUUCGGGUUGUAAAAAUCUUUUGUAUGGGAAGAAAAUGACAGUACCGUACGAAUAAGGACCGGCUAAUUACGUG
Molecule: ribosomal RNA, 477 nt
Filed under: uncultured bacterium
Lineage: Bacteria
Description: partial 16S ribosomal RNA
Rfam family: Bacterial small subunit ribosomal RNA
Source: RNAcentral